UGGUCAAGUUAUUAAGGGUGCAGGGCGGAUGCCUUGGCACUAGGAGCCGAUGAAGGACGUGAUAAGCUGCGAUAAGCUUCGGGGAGUUGCACGUAAACUUUGAUCCGAAGAUUUCCGAAUGAGGAAACUCACUUAGAGUAAUGUCUAAGUAUCAUUAAGUGAAUACAUAGCUUAAUGAGGGGAACUCAGGGAACUGAAACAUCUAAGUACCUGAAGGAAGAGAAAGAAAUUCGAUUCCGUAAGUAGCGGCGAGCGAACGCGGAUUAGCCCAAACCAAUAAAGUUUUCUUUAUUGGGGUUGCGGACAUAUCAUAACGAAGAGGUAUCGUAAUUGAAGAGGUUUGGAAAGACCCACCACAGAAGGUAAUAGUCCUGUAUGUUAAACGAGAAGACUU
This 394-nucleotide ribosomal RNA is filed under the name Clostridioides difficile. Its description in RNAcentral is "bacterial LSU rRNA". It matches the Rfam family "Bacterial large subunit ribosomal RNA", at positions 1 to 395 of the family's 2925-position model. The record is from RNAcentral. Lineage: Bacteria; Bacillati; Bacillota; Clostridia; Peptostreptococcales; Peptostreptococcaceae.